UGGGGAAUCUUGCACAAUGGGCGAAAGCCUGAUGCAGCAACGCCGCGUGCGGGAAGACAGCCCUAGGGUUGUAAACCGCUUUCAGCAGGGAAGAAACUGACGGUACCUGCAGAAGAAGAUGCGGCCAACUACGUGCCAGCAGCCGCGGUGACACGUAGGCAUCAAGCGUUAUCCGGAUUUAUUGGGCGUAAAGAGCUCGUAGGCGGUUCGGUAAGUCGGGUGUGAAAACUCUGGGCUCAACCCAGAGAGGCCACUCGAUACUGCUGUGACUAGAGUGCGGUAGGGGAGCGGGGAAUUCCUGGUGUAGCGGUGAAAUGCGCAGAUAUCAGGAGGAACACCAGUGGCGAAGGCGCCGCUCUGGGCCGUAACUGACGCUGAGGAGCGAAAGCAUGGGUAGCAAACAGGAUUAGAUACCCUGGUAGUCCAUGCCGUAAAACGUUGGGCACUAGGUGUGGGUCUCAACCAACGAGAUCCGCGCCGUCGCUAACGCAUUAAGUGCCCGCCUGGGAGUACGGUCGC
RNAcentral lists this ribosomal RNA (519 nucleotides) under uncultured bacterium. Its description in RNAcentral is "bacterial SSU rRNA". It matches the Rfam family "Bacterial small subunit ribosomal RNA", at positions 355 to 889 of the family's 1533-position model. The record is from RNAcentral.